This 91-nucleotide small nucleolar RNA is filed under the name Euglena gracilis. RNAcentral describes it as "Eg-m93". Lineage: Eukaryota; Euglenozoa; Euglenophyceae; Euglenales; Euglenaceae. The record is from RNAcentral.
UGAGGACGAUGCGAUAACCCCUAUUGCAUUUUGAUGCCUUUUGUUGCAGUUUGGAGUGGCGCAUUAAACAAGAGGUCUUUGCAUGAUGACU